Etheostoma cragini (Arkansas darter) is the source of this 382-nucleotide non-coding RNA. The record is from the annotation of a RefSeq genome assembly. Lineage: Eukaryota; Metazoa; Chordata; Actinopteri; Perciformes; Percidae.
UCCCACUGAAAACUGCAUCAGGAUGAUGUUGCCAAUAACUCUGUUUGUCAUGUUGGGUUUUCUGACUCAGGAGUCGUCUGCCAACAAUUUUCUGACUCAGGCUGACAAAUCCAAGUCUGUUAGUCUUGAAGGGACUGUGACCAUCAGCGCCUUAGGGAGUUCAGAUAUUGAUGAUGAUCUCAGUUGGUACCUUCAGAAACCUGGACAGGCUCUUAAACUUCUUAUAUACAGGGCAUCAUCUCUCUUCACUGGAACUCCGUCUCGAUUCAGUGGCAGUAGAUCUGGUUCUCACUACACUUUAACCAUCAGUGGUGUUAAGGCUGAAGAUGCUGGAGAUUACUACUGCCUGGGCUACCAUGGUAGUGGAGUGUUCACACAGUGA